AUUGAACGCUGGCGGCAUGCCUUACACAUGCAAGUCGAACGGUAACAGGUCUUCGGAUGCUGACGAGUGGCGCACGGGUGAGUAAUACAUCGGAACGUGCCCGAUCGUGGGGGCUAACGAAGCGAAAGCUUUGCUAAUACCGCAUAAGAUCUACGGAUGAAAGAAGGGGACCGCAAGGCCUUGCGCGAACGGAGCGGCCGAUGGCAGAUUAGGUAGUUGGUGGGAUAAAAGCUUACCAAGCCGACGAUCUGUAGCUGGUCUGAGAGGACGACCAGCCACACUGGGACUGAGACACGGCCCAGACUCCUACGGGAGGCAGCAGUGGGGAAUUUUGGACAAUGGGCGAAAGCCUGAUCCAGCCAUGCCGCGUGCAGGAUGAAGGCCUUCGGGUUGUAAACUGCUUUUGUACGGAACGAAAAGACUCUGGUUAAUACCUGGGGUCCAUGACGGUACCGGAAGAAUAAGCACCGGCUAACUACGUG
This 482-nucleotide ribosomal RNA is filed under the name uncultured bacterium. RNAcentral's name for it is "partial 16S ribosomal RNA". It matches the Rfam family "Bacterial small subunit ribosomal RNA", at positions 30 to 507 of the family's 1533-position model. The record is from RNAcentral.